Molecule: long non-coding RNA, 112 nt
Organism: Chenopodium quinoa (quinoa)
Lineage: Eukaryota; Viridiplantae; Streptophyta; Magnoliopsida; Caryophyllales; Amaranthaceae
Exons: 2
Source: RefSeq, a predicted model, not a curated record
CCGAAGUAACAAGCUUCAAAAGCAUUCAAUUGGUUUUCUUCCCGGUCGUUUUACCAGAUCACUACUAUUUGCUGUGUGUCAACUUUGUGGAAGGAACAUUUGAUUUGAUUGA